RNAcentral lists this ribosomal RNA (1552 nucleotides) under uncultured beta proteobacterium. Its description in RNAcentral is "partial 16S ribosomal RNA". It matches the Rfam family "Bacterial small subunit ribosomal RNA". Lineage: Bacteria; Pseudomonadati; Pseudomonadota; Betaproteobacteria. The record is from RNAcentral.
GUUUGAUCCUGGCUCAGAGUGAACGCUGGCGGUGCGCCUAAAACAUGCAAGUCGAGCGCCCAGCACCUUGGGGAUGGAGUAUUACGUAUUAUGUAUCAAGUAUUAUGUAUGCGACCUCGGUCGUUAUACGUAAUACCUAAUACUCAAUACUUGAUACCCGUCAGUAAGGUGCUGGGAGCGGCGGACGGCUGCGUAACACGUGGAUACAUGCCCCGAACUCAGGGAUAACCUCGCGAAAGCGAGGCUAAUACCGGAUGGUCUCGUAAGAGUAAAGCUUUUGCGGUUCGGGAGUGGUCUGCGGCCUAUCAGCUAGUUGGUAAGGUAACGGCUUACCAAGGCUAUGACGGGUAGCUGGUCUGAGAGGACGACCAGCCAGAAUGGGACUGAGACACGGUCCAUACUCCUACGGGAGGCAGCAGUUAGGAAUCUUCCGCAAUGGGCGAAAGCCUGACGGAGCGACACCGCGUGAAGGAUGGAGCCCUUUUUGGGUGUAAACUUCUGUUUUGAGGGACGAAAUUUUUGACGGUACCUCAAGAGAAAGCACCGGCUAAUUCUGUGCCAGCAGCCGCGGUAAGACAGAAGGUGCAAGCGUUACUCGGAAUUACUGGGCGUAAAGCGUCUGUAGGUGUCCUGCCACGUCUGGCGUAAAAUUUCGGGGCCUAACCCCGAAUGCGUGCCGGAAACGAGCGGGAUCGAGUCAUUCAGAGGCAUCUGGAAUGUCGUGUGUAGGGGUAAAAUCCGUAGAUACACGAUGGAACACCGAUGGCGAAGGCAGCCCCCUGGGCUAACACUGACGCUCAUGCACGAAAGCGUGGGGAGCAAACAGGAUUAGAUACCCUGGUAGUCCACGCCCUAAACUAUGUCAACUGGUUGUCGGGGAAGCAAUUCCUUGGUAACGAAGCUAACGCGUGAAGUUGACCGCCUGGGGAGUACGGCCGCAAGGUUAAAACUCAAAGGAAUUGACGGGGACCCGCACAAGCGGUGGAUUAUGUGGAUUAAUUCGAUGCAACGCGAAAAACCUUACCUACCCUUGACAUGCCAGGAACCCUCCAGAGAUGGAGGGGUGCCCGAAAGGGAACCUGGACACAGGUGCUGCAUGGCUGUCGUCAGCUCGUGUCGUGAGAUGUUGGGUUAAGUCCCGCAACGAGCGCAACCCUUGCCAUUAGUUGCUACAUUCAGUUGAGCACUCUAAUGGGACUGCCGGUGACAAACCGGAGGAAGGUGGGGAUGACGUCAAGUCCUCAUGGCCCUUAUGGGUAGGGCUUCACACGUAAUACAAUGGCCGGUACAGAGGGCAGCCAACCCGCGAGGGGGAGCUAAUCCCAGAAAGCCGGUCGUAGUCCGGAUUGCAGUCUGCAACUCGACUGCAUGAAGCCGGAAUCGCUAGUAAUCGCGGAUCAGCAUGUCGCGGUGAAUACGUUCCCGGGUCUUGUACACACCGCCCGUCACACCAUGGGAGUGGGUUUCACCAGAAGUAGUUAGCCUAACCGCAAGGAGGGCGACUACCACGGUGAGAUUCAUGACUGGGGUGAAGUCGUAACAAGGUAACCGU